Non-coding RNA from Brachypodium distachyon (stiff brome), 125 nucleotides. The record is from Rfam. Lineage: Eukaryota; Viridiplantae; Streptophyta; Magnoliopsida; Poales; Poaceae.
CAUCUACUCCCUCCGUCCCAUAUUAAGUGACUUUCUAUUACAUGUAUCUAGGCACUUUUUAGACAUAGAUACAUCCCAAUUUGGACAAAUUUGAGUCACUUAAUAUGGGACGGAGGGAGUAACUG